This 312-nucleotide ribosomal RNA is filed under the name Triticum aestivum (bread wheat). RNAcentral describes it as "partial small subunit ribosomal RNA". Lineage: Eukaryota; Viridiplantae; Streptophyta; Magnoliopsida; Poales; Poaceae. The record is from RNAcentral.
AUGUCCGGGCGCGGCAAGGGCGGCAAGGGGCUGGGAAAGGGCGGCACCAAGCGCCACCGGAAGGUCCUCCGCGACAACAUCCAGGGCAUCACCAAGCCGGCGAUCCGGAGGCUGGCCAGGAGGGGCGGCGUGAAGCGCAUCUCCGGCCUCAUCUACGAGGAGACCCGCGGCGUCCUCAAGAUCUUCCUCGAGAACGUCAUACGCGACGCCGUCACCUACACCGAGCACGCCCGCCGCAAGACCGUCACCGCCAUGGACGUCGUCUACGCGCUCAAGCGCCAGGGCCGCACCCUCUACGGCUUCGGAGGCUAG